GUCUCUCUUUUCUUCUUUGGCUGUCCGAGUUGUAAUCUAGAGAAGUGCUUACCCGUGCUGCACCAUGUACAAGUCUCCUGGAAUGGAGCGUCGUAGAGGGUGAGAAUCCCGUCGUUGACAUGGACUUGCCAGUGCAUAGUGGUGCGCUCUCAAAGAGUCGAGUUGUUUGGGAAUGCAGCUCUAAAUGGGUGGUAAACUCCAUCUAAAGCUAAAUAUUGGCGAGAGACCGAUAGCGAACAAGUACCGUGAGGGAAAGAUGAAAAGCACUUUGGAAAGAGAGUUAAACAGUAUGUGAAAUUGUUGAAAGGGAAACACUUGAAGUCAGUUGUGUCUGCUUAGGGAUCAACUCAGCUGAUUUUGCUGCGUGAACUUCCUAGUGUGACAGGCCAACAUCAGUUCUGACUGUUGGAAAAGGGCAGAGGGAAUGUGCCACCUUUGGGUGUGUUUUAUAGCCUUUUGUCAUAUAUAGCAGUCGGGACUGAGGAAUUGCAGCGCGCCGCGAGGGGGCAGGGUCUUUUGACCACGUUCGCGCUUAGGAUGUUGGCGUUUAAUGGCUUCAAUUGACCCGUCUUGAAACACGGACCAAGGAGUCUAACAUGCCUGCGAGUGUUUGGGUGAAGAAACCCUUGUGCACAAUGAAAGUGAAAGUUGAGAUCCCUGUCGUGGGGAGCAUCGACGCCCGGACCGGAGCUUUUAGCGAUGGAUCUGCGGUAGAGCAUGCAUGUUGGGACCCGAAAGAUGGUGAACUAUGCCUGAAUAGGGCAAAGCCAGAGGAAA
Molecule: ribosomal RNA, 777 nt
Filed under: Amanita sp.
Lineage: Eukaryota; Fungi; Basidiomycota; Agaricomycetes; Agaricales; Amanitaceae
Description: partial large subunit ribosomal RNA
Rfam family: Eukaryotic large subunit ribosomal RNA
Source: RNAcentral